This 31-nucleotide non-coding RNA is filed under the name Homo sapiens (human). Lineage: Eukaryota; Metazoa; Chordata; Mammalia; Primates; Hominidae. The record is from RNAcentral.
UGCAGGAAAGCCUUAUUGAAAUCAUGGAAGC